CAGGUUUCAGAGUAGCAACCGUGUUAGUCUGUAUUCGCAAAAAGAAAAGGAGGAGUACUUGUGGCACCUUGGAGACUAGCAAAUUUGUUUGAGCGUGGGCUUUUGUGGGCUACAGCUCACUUCAUCGGAUCUGAUGGGGUGAGCUGUAGUUCACGGAAGUUUGUACUCGGGUGAAUUUGUUGGUUUCCGGGGUGCCACAAGUACUCCUUUUCUUUUUGCAAAUACAGACUAACACAGCUGCUACUCUGAAACC
Long non-coding RNA from Dermochelys coriacea (leatherback sea turtle), 253 nucleotides. RefSeq lists it as uncharacterized. The transcript is spliced from 2 exons. The record is from RefSeq and is a predicted model, not a curated record. Lineage: Eukaryota; Metazoa; Chordata; Testudines; Dermochelyidae.